AGCAGCCGCGGUAAUUCCAGCUCCAAUAGCGUAUAUUAAAGUUGUUGCAGUUAAAAGCUCGUAGUUGAAUUUCGGGAUCAAUCUAUCGGUCGUGCAAUAGUACGUACUGAUUUUAUUGAUUCCUACCUUCUGAUGAACUAUGAUGUCAUUAAUUUGGUGUCAUAGGGAAUCAGGACUGUUACUUUGAAAAAAUUAGAGUGUUUAAAGCAGGCUCACGCUUGAAUACAUUAGCAUGGAAUAACGAAAUAGGACGUUUGAUUCUAUUUUGUUGGUUUCUAGGAUCGACGUAAUGAUUAAUAGGGAUAGUUGGGGGCAUUAGUAUUCAAUUGUCAGAGGUGAAAAUUCUUGGAUUUAUUGAAGACUAACUACUGCGAAAAGCAUUUGCCAAGGAUGUUUUCAUUAAUCAAGAACGAAAGUUAGGGGAUCGAAGACGAUCAGAUACCGUCGUAGUCUUAACCAUAAAACUAUGCCGACUAGGGAUCGGAUGAUGUUAAUUUUUUAAUGACUCAUUCGGCGCCUU
This 520-nucleotide ribosomal RNA is filed under the name uncultured Glomus. RNAcentral describes it as "SSU rRNA". It matches the Rfam family "Eukaryotic small subunit ribosomal RNA", at positions 569 to 1089 of the family's 1831-position model. Lineage: Eukaryota; Fungi; Glomeromycota; Glomeromycetes; Glomerales; Glomeraceae. The record is from RNAcentral.